GAUGAACGCUGGCGGCGUGCCUAAUACAUGCAAGUAGAACGCUGAAGGAAGGAGCUUGCUCUUUCCGGAUGAGUUGCGAACGGGUGAGUAACGCGUAGGUAACCUGCCUGGUAGCGGGGGAUAACUAUUGGAAACGAUAGCUAAUACCGCAUAACAGUAGAUGUUGCAUGAUAUCUACUUAAAAGGUGCAAUUGCACCACUACCAGAUGGACCUGCGUUGUAUUAGCUAGUUGGUGAGGUAACGGCUCACCAAGGCGACGAUACAUAGCCGACCUGAGAGGGUGAUCGGCCACACUGGGACUGAGACACGGCCCAGACUCCUACGGGAGGCAGCAGUAGGGAAUCUUCGGCAAUGGACGGAAGUCUGACCGAGCAACGCCGCGGGAGUGAAGAAGGGUUUCGGAUCGUAAAGCUCUGUUGUAAGAGAAGAACGAGUGUGAGAGUGGAAAGUUCACACUGUGACGGUAUCUUACCAGAAAGGGACGGCUAACUACGUG
This 497-nucleotide ribosomal RNA is filed under the name uncultured bacterium. Its description in RNAcentral is "partial 16S ribosomal RNA". It matches the Rfam family "Bacterial small subunit ribosomal RNA", at positions 28 to 507 of the family's 1533-position model. The record is from RNAcentral.